RNAcentral lists this ribosomal RNA (435 nucleotides) under uncultured bacterium. Its description in RNAcentral is "bacterial SSU rRNA". It matches the Rfam family "Bacterial small subunit ribosomal RNA", at positions 94 to 525 of the family's 1533-position model. The record is from RNAcentral.
AGUGGCGAACGGGUGAGUAAUGCAUCGGAACGUGCCCAGUCGUGGGGGAUAACGCAGCGAAAGCUGUGCUAAUACCGCAUACGAUCUAUGGAUGAAAGCGGGGGAUCGAAAGACCUCGCGCGAUUGGAGCGGCCGAUGUCAGAUUAGCUAGUUGGUGGGGUAAAGGCCCACCAAGGCGACGAUCUGUAGCUGGUCUGAGAGGACGACCAGCCACACUGGGACUGAGACACGGCCCAGACUCCUACGGGAGGCAGCAGUGGGGAAUUUUGGACAAUGGGCGCAAGCCUGAUCCAGCAAUGCCGCGUGCAGGAAGAAGGCCUUCGGGUUGUAAACUGCUUUUGUACGGAACGAAAAGGUCUGGGUUAAUACCCUGGGCUCAUGACGGUACCGUAAGAAUAAGCACCGGCUAACUACGUGCCAGCAGCCGCGGUAAUA